UCGAAAAAAAAAACUGCGUUUCCGUGUUAAAUGUUUAACCGUCCGUCUUAUUUAAAAAAAUAUAAAAAAAUUAAAAAUACAAGUCACGCAUAAAGUAUUAAUCAUGUUUUAUCAUCUAACAACAAUGAAAAUACUGAUUAUAAAAAAAUUUCAUAUAAGACGGAUAGUCAAACGUUGGACACGGAAACCCAAGGUUUGUCUUUUU
This is a microRNA precursor of Oryza sativa Indica Group (long-grained rice), 205 nucleotides long. It matches the Rfam family "MIR812 microRNA precursor family". The record is from Rfam. Lineage: Eukaryota; Viridiplantae; Streptophyta; Magnoliopsida; Poales; Poaceae.